GCCUACGGGGGCAGCAGUAGGGAAUCUUCCACAAUGGGCGAAAGCCUGAUGGAGCAACGCCGCGUGGGUGAAGAAGGUCUUCGGAUCGUAAAACCCUGUUGUUAGAGAAGAAAGUGCGUGAGAGUAACUGUUCACGUUUCGACGGUAUCUAACCAGAAAGCCACGGCUAACUACGUGCCAGCAGCCGCGGUAAUACGUAGGUGGCAAGCGUUAUCCGGGUUUAUUGGGCGUAAAGGGAACGCAGGCGGUCUUUUAAGUCUGAUGUGAAAGCCUUCGGCUUAACCGGAGUAGUGCAUUGGAAACUG
RNAcentral lists this ribosomal RNA (305 nucleotides) under uncultured bacterium. RNAcentral describes it as "bacterial SSU rRNA". It matches the Rfam family "Bacterial small subunit ribosomal RNA", at positions 337 to 635 of the family's 1533-position model. The record is from RNAcentral.